RNAcentral lists this ribosomal RNA (119 nucleotides) under Pteropus alecto (black flying fox). Lineage: Eukaryota; Metazoa; Chordata; Mammalia; Chiroptera; Pteropodidae. The record is from RNAcentral.
GUCUACGGCAUGCCACCCCUGAACAAGGCCAAUCCUGUCUGAUCUCGGAAGCUAAGCAGGGUCGGGCCCAGUUAGUACUUGGAUGGGAGGCCACCCAGGAAGACCAGGUGCUAUAGGCG